GCCCAAGCAGGGCUCAAACUUGUAAUCUUCCUGCUUCGGCCUCCCAGAUUGGUGGGACUACAGGUGUAUACCAGCAUGUCCAGCUUGCUCAACGCCUUCUGCCUCCUAUCCUCAGACACCAGCUCCUAUGGACAUAGCCUGGGCCUUGUCAUCACUAGAAGCUGUUCAACCUGUCAACUCACAUGCUAACCGAACCCUCUAAGGAAUAGAAGACUCCUUCUUAAAGCCGUCCAUCCUGGGAGGAAGUUCCUCCCUAGGCCUAGCUGCAGGAUCUCCUACUGUAAGAUCUGGGCUCCACUGAACGCAGCCUUUCAGCACCACUGGGUUGCCAGGCCCUUUUUCCGGUACGCACUAGACAACAAAUGUUUGCACAGUGAGUGUCCCACCCACAGCCCUGCCUGCCCCACACCAGAAUUAAAUGAGCUUAUACACUUAAAUUCUUUAAAGUGUCCCACAGCACCUGCUGAGUAAUCAGAAAUCAGUCACUGCCCCCUUAAAUAAAGUGAGCCUGUGGUCCCGCCCCUCCUAAUUGGCACACUCCCCUGACCUGCCUCACCAGCAGAUACCCAGGGAGGUCAAGGGGCGAGCCCAGUGAGGGCAGAAGGUCUUCCCAGAGAGGACUCUGGGUCUCCGGUAGAGAACUGCCAAUGGAGAAGGCCCCAAGGUCAGUGGGGGGGGGGCACAAUAGCUGGAGAAUAUGUGAAGCCAGCGACCCCCUCACCUCCCCAGCCCUAGACACCACAUUGGGGUGAGGGCUUUCUUCCCUUCCCCUAUCUUGCUUCAAAGAUGGCAAAAAUUUGAGUGCCAAAACCAGGACAGCUAUCACUUUAUUUAAUCUCUUUCUCAGCCCUUUGAUCCCCUUUUUGGAGGAUGAGAAACCCAAGGGUUACAGAGAUCAAUUUGCCCAUGAUCACUUGGCCCAGAGUUGGGCCCAAGGCUCACACUCCAAAGCCAAGGCUCUCUUCUACCCACUCUUCUACCUCUCCUAGGGGCGCGGGCAGGGCAGCUGUGAGCACUGAGUAAGUUCCAGCCCAGAGCGCCUGGGCUUGGUGAGAGGGCAGGCGGGGGAGAGAGCAGGGAGAAAGGCUGAUGCCGGGUCACAGACACCCCUGCCAUGAGCCUGCAGUUCACAUGGUGAAGUUAGGCCACGUGAGAAGCAAGGGGAAAGGGACUUCACCCUCUAGGGACAGCUGCUUCCAAAUCUAACAAAACCCCAGAGCAAGCCCUGGUGCUGGGCCUCCUGCCAGCGACUCUAGUCAGUCCCAGGGGGCGCUGGGUCAGCGUAUACAGCGGGAGGCACACAGAAGAGAGUGAAAGCUCUCUGGCUUCAGAAUCAGAAUGCCUGAAAACAGGGCCCCCUCCCAUCCCCACUUCACACGGGCUGGUGCAGUGCCCUCACAAUCGGGCUGCAGGACCUGUGCCCAGGGCCCUCAGCAUUUGCACACAUUUGCAUAAACAGCAGGCAGGUCCAGAUAAUGCCUCUUCCACAGAAGGUGAUAUCAGUGCAGGGCUGGGUGCUCCACGCUCCUCUGUGAAGGAUACCCAAGGGCACCAGGCAAGCCAGGAGAGGCCAGCUGAAUGGUCCAUUGAAGC
Molecule: long non-coding RNA, 1593 nt
Organism: Chinchilla lanigera (long-tailed chinchilla)
Lineage: Eukaryota; Metazoa; Chordata; Mammalia; Rodentia; Chinchillidae
Exons: 2
Source: RefSeq, a predicted model, not a curated record